This 82-nucleotide transfer RNA is filed under the name Denitrobacterium detoxificans. It matches the Rfam family "tRNA". Rfam says of the family: Transfer RNA (tRNA) molecules are approximately 80 nucleotides in length. Their secondary structure includes four short double-helical elements and three loops (D, anti-codon, and T loops). Lineage: Bacteria; Bacillati; Actinomycetota; Coriobacteriia; Eggerthellales; Eggerthellaceae. The record is from Rfam by way of RNAcentral.
GCCCGAGUGGCGGAAUGGCAGACGCGGCGGUCUCAAAAACCGCUGUCCACAAGACAUGCGGGUUCGAAUCCCGCCUCGGGCA